AAAAGGAAACCAAGAUCAAGGAAUUUUGAGAAUUCAUUAAGGGAGAAUCAAAAUCAUAUAUUUUUAAGUUUUCAAACUAAGAUCAUAUCUUCCUAAAAUUAUAUAUUCACAUAUGAAAAAAAUCAAAAGGGAUCACGAAAGGAUUUUAAGCAUUUAUCACAAGAUUAUGGAUGAAUUUGUUUUCUUAAGGAAUCAUAGGUCUUCAUUAAAUUAAGAGAUUUUCAAAAGAUCUUCUUUAAAUUAUAAGAUCUUCCUAAAUAAUCAAUAUUUCAGGAAAAGAGAAAACUAAAUUUCUAACAUUAAAGGAAGAUAUU
This 314-nucleotide long non-coding RNA is filed under the name Carica papaya (papaya). RNAcentral's name for it is "long non-coding RNA (CPAP_LNC015497)". Lineage: Eukaryota; Viridiplantae; Streptophyta; Magnoliopsida; Brassicales; Caricaceae. The record is from RNAcentral.